This 430-nucleotide unclassified non-coding RNA is filed under the name soil metagenome. RNAcentral describes it as "partial contains 5.8S ribosomal RNA, internal transcribed spacer 2, and large subunit ribosomal RNA". The stretch from base 1 to 120 matches the Rfam family "5.8S ribosomal RNA", at positions 35 to 154 of the family's 154-position model. The record is from RNAcentral.
GAUGAAGAACGUAGCGAAAUGCGAUACGUAAUGUGAAUUGCAGAAUUCAGUGAAUCAUCGAAUCUUUGAACGCAUAUUGCGCUCUCUGGUAUUCCGGAGAGCAUGCUUGUUUGAGUAUCAGUAAACACCUCAACUCCCUUUUCUUUUUUGAAAUUGGAGCUGGACUUGAGUGAUCCCAACGCUUUCUUCCGAGAAAGUGGCGGGUUGCUUGAAAUGCAGGUGCAGCUGAACUUUUCUCUGAGCUAUAAGCAUAUCUAUUUAGUCUGCCUAAAAAACAGAUUAUUACCUUUGCUGCAGCUAACAUAAAGGAGACUAGUUCUUGUGCUGACUGAUGCAGGAUUCACAGAGACAGCUUCGGCUGACUUUGUAAACUCGAUCUCAAAUCAAGUAAGACUACCCGCUGAACUUAAGCAUAUCAAUAAGCGGAGGA